GGCGCUGUCAUGGCGGGUGUGCUGAAGAAGACCACUGGCCUUGUGGGAUUGGCUGUCUGCAAUACUCCUCACGAGAAAUUCAAAUAAGAAAAAUUAAAAAAAAAAAUUUGCAGUGCUUGGGACCUCACUUUGAAAAAUACUGAUUCAGGCUGGGUGGGCUCAUGCCUGUAAUCCCAGCACUUUGGGAGGCCGAGGUGGGCGGAUCACCUGAAGUCAGGAGUUUGAGACCAUCCUGGCCAACAUGGCAAAACCCUGUCUCUACUAAAAAUAGAAAAAGUAGCCAGAGGCUAAGAAUAUUGUACACAAAGAUUCUUGAUGUUCUUGAGGAAAUCCCUAAAAAUGCAGCAUAUAGAAAGUAUACAGAACAGAUUACAAAUGAGAAGCUGGCUAUGGUUAAAGCGGAACCAGAUGUUAAAAAAUUAGAAGACCAACUUCAAGGCGGUCAAUUAGAAGAGGUGAUUCUUCAGGCUGAACAUGAACUAAAUCUGGCAAGAAAAAUGAAGGAAUGGAAACUAUGGGAGCCAUUAGUGGAAGAGCCUCCUGCCGAUCAGUGGAAAUGGCCAAUAUAAUUAUUAAGUGACUUUGGUGUGUUGAUGGGAAACUGAUGUAAUUAAAUAUUCUGUUAUAUUAAGAGCGUGUUCUUAUUACUGACAUUUUGUAAUCAAGAAAAGUGAUAUAAAAAAUAUG
Molecule: small RNA, 687 nt
Filed under: Pongo abelii (Sumatran orangutan)
Lineage: Eukaryota; Metazoa; Chordata; Mammalia; Primates; Hominidae
Description: processed transcript
Source: RNAcentral